AGNCUACCCACCCCAUUGUCAGUUUUCCCGCUACCAAUAUAUAUAUAUAUAUAUAUAUAUAUAUAUAUAUAUAUAUAUAUAUAUAUAUAUAUAUAUAUAUAUAUUGGUAGCGGGAAAACUGACAAUGGGGUGGGUAGGCU
This is a non-coding RNA of Trichinella nativa, 140 nucleotides long. NCBI's taxonomy places the organism in Eukaryota, Metazoa, Nematoda, Enoplea, Trichinellida, Trichinellidae. The record is from Rfam.